GACAGAGGGGGCAAGCGUUGCUCGGAAUCACUGGGCGUAAAGGGCGCGUAGGCGGCCAACUAAGUCAGACGUGAAAUCCCUCGGCUCAACCGGGGAACUGCGUCUGAUACUGGAUGGCUUGAAUUCGGGAGAGGGAUGCGGAAUUCCAGGUGUAGCGGUGAAAUGCGUAGAUAUCUGGAGGAACACCGGUGGCGAAGGCGGCAUCCUGGACCGAGAUUGACGCUGAUGCGCGAAAGCUAGGGGAGCAAACGGG
RNAcentral lists this ribosomal RNA (253 nucleotides) under uncultured bacterium. Its description in RNAcentral is "partial 16S ribosomal RNA". It matches the Rfam family "Bacterial small subunit ribosomal RNA", at positions 524 to 776 of the family's 1533-position model. The record is from RNAcentral.